CAAUGGCGUGUACAGAGUGUUGCAAGGCAGCGAUGCCAAGCCAAUCACUAAAAGCACGUCACAGUUCGGAUUGCAGGCUGCAACUCGCCUGUAUGAAGCUGGAAUCGCUAGUAAUCGCGCAUCAGCAAUGGCGCGGUGAAUACGUUCCCGGACCUUGUACACACCGCCCGUC
Molecule: ribosomal RNA, 172 nt
Filed under: uncultured Bacteroidota bacterium
Lineage: Bacteria; Pseudomonadati; Bacteroidota
Description: uncultured Bacteroidetes bacterium partial 16S ribosomal RNA
Rfam family: Bacterial small subunit ribosomal RNA
Source: RNAcentral